AAAUCGUGAUGGGGGCACUGAGUUGUGUAGCUUUUAAACCUCUCCCAAGCUUCACAGAAAGUUUCAUUGUUUUGGUGGUUGAAACCCGAGAUCUUGUUCCUCAAUCU
RNAcentral lists this small nucleolar RNA (107 nucleotides) under Arabidopsis thaliana (thale cress). Its description in RNAcentral is "Plant small nucleolar RNA R71". It matches the Rfam family "Plant small nucleolar RNA R71". From Rfam's summary of the family: R71 is a member of the C/D box family of snoRNAs containing the C (UGAUGA) and D (CUGA) box motifs. Multiple nearly identical copies of this snoRNA have been identified in Arabidopsis, and it is thought to function as a 2'-O-ribose methylation guide for 18S ribosomal RNA. The record is from Rfam by way of RNAcentral. Lineage: Eukaryota; Viridiplantae; Streptophyta; Magnoliopsida; Brassicales; Brassicaceae.